This 279-nucleotide ribosomal RNA is filed under the name uncultured bacterium. RNAcentral describes it as "partial 16S ribosomal RNA". It matches the Rfam family "Archaeal small subunit ribosomal RNA", at positions 456 to 735 of the family's 1478-position model. The record is from RNAcentral.
UGCCAGCCGCCGCGGUAAAACCAGCACCUCAAGUGGUCAGGAUGAUUAUUGGGCCUAAAGCAUCCGUAGCCGGCUCUGUAAGUUUUCGGUUAAAUCUAUACGCUCAACGUAUAGGCUGCCGGGAAUACUGCAGAGCUAGGGAGUGGGAGAGGUAGACGGUACUCGGUAGGAAGUGGUAAAAUGCUUUGAUCUAUCGAUGACCACCUGUGGCGAAGGCGGUCUACCAGAACACGUCCGACGCUGAGUCACGAAAGCGUGGGGAGCGAACAGGAUUAGAUA